RNAcentral lists this ribosomal RNA (460 nucleotides) under uncultured bacterium. Its description in RNAcentral is "partial 16S ribosomal RNA". It matches the Rfam family "Bacterial small subunit ribosomal RNA", at positions 338 to 795 of the family's 1533-position model. The record is from RNAcentral.
CCUACGGGGUGCUGCAGUGAGGAAUAUUGGUCAAUGGGCGGAAGCCUGAACCAGCCAAGUCGCGUGAGGGAUUAAGGCCCUGCGGGUCGUAAACCUCUUUUGCCGGGGAGCAGAGGUCCGGACGUGUCCGGGCCGGGAGAGUACCCGGAGAAAAAGCAUCGGCUAACUCCGUGCCAGCGGCCGCGGUAAUCCGGAGGAUGCGAGCGUUAUCCGGAUUGAUUGGGUGUAAAGGGUGCGUAGGCGGGUAUUUAAUCCGGCGGUAAAAUGUCGGGGCUCAACCCCGGCCUGCCGUCGAAACUGGGUGCCUUGAGUUGGCGAGAGGUAUGCGGAAUGCGUGGUGUAGCGGUGAAAUGCAUAGAUAUCACGCAGAACCCCGAUUGCGAAGGCAGCAUACCGGCGCCCUACUGACGCUGAGGCACGAAAGUGCGGGUAUCGAACAGGAGUAGAUACCCGAGUAGUC